RNAcentral lists this ribosomal RNA (716 nucleotides) under Aquaspirillum sp. A-12p. RNAcentral describes it as "partial 16S ribosomal RNA". The stretch from base 5 to 469 matches the Rfam family "Bacterial small subunit ribosomal RNA", at positions 37 to 537 of the family's 1533-position model. Lineage: Bacteria; Pseudomonadati; Pseudomonadota; Betaproteobacteria; Neisseriales; Aquaspirillaceae. The record is from RNAcentral.
CUCAUGGCGGCUGCCUUAACAUGCAGUCGAACGGCAGCACGGAGCUUGCUCUGGUGGCGAGUGGCGAACGGGUGAGUAAUAUAUCGGAACGUACCCUUGGGUGGGGGAUAACGUAGCGAAAGUUACGCUAAUACCGCAUACGAUCUAAGGAUGAUAGUGGGGGGAUUCGCAAAGACCUUCUGGCUCAUGGGAGCGGCCUAUUUCGGAUUAAGCUCCCUCGGCGGGGUAAAAGCGCACCUAGGUAUCCACCAUUAUCUGGUCUGAGAAGGCCUACACACAAGGCGGGAGUGGAAUAGGGUCAUACUCCCUCUGGAGGCAUUUGUGGGGAAAUUUUGAAAAGGGGCACAUUCCUAACCACCAUUGCUUGCAAGGGAAGAAACGGAGUUUUGAAUACCCAUAAUAAUGGCGGUACUCGAAAAUACCCACCGUUUAACUGCUUCCCAGCCGCCGCGGGAUACGUAGGGUUUAACCGUUAUCCCAAUUACUGGGCGUAACCCCCCCAGGGGGUUAUCCCAGACAUUUGUAAAGGCUGAACUUACCCGCGAAACCGCAUUGGGCGCUGCAGCCGCAACACUAAAACACUUGGUAUGGGGCGGACACCAGAUGGGAUAUGAAUCCUCUUUGGCUCAAGACGUAUCCUUAAUGACAGAAAUCGUGGUGGACCAAGGGGGACUGACAUCCCCUGCAGGCCACCCCUAAAACGAAAGUUUACUAAC